This 629-nucleotide ribosomal RNA is filed under the name Fuligo septica. RNAcentral describes it as "SSU rRNA". It matches the Rfam family "Eukaryotic small subunit ribosomal RNA", at positions 1 to 584 of the family's 1831-position model. The record is from RNAcentral. Lineage: Eukaryota; Evosea; Eumycetozoa; Physariida; Physaraceae.
ACAUUUAACCUGGGGGUUUUUCUGCCAGUAGUGUAUGCUUCUCCUAAAGACUAAGCCAUGCAUGCCUUCGAAUAGAAGAGCAAGUCUCUCUGAAUCUGCGUACGGCUCCGCAAACCAGUUGUAAACCAUAGCUAGCAGGCCUCGGAGACGACCGCAAGGUCGUAGCUGGGGCCAAAAGGAUAUCCAUGGUAAUUCUGAGGCUAAUACUUGACUGUAACCCCUGGCUGACCGGGCAACUGGUAGGCUGGGGGACGUGUACGGCUUCGCACACCAUUAAGGAAUGAAUGCACGUUCAGACCGCUUUUCAACACAGAUAGGGGGUAAUCCUUCGGGAGAUAACCCCUGCCUGAGCGGCUCUAGCACGGUGCUUCUGACCUAUCAACUAGAUGGCAGCGUAACGGACAUGCUAUGGUGACAACGGGUACAGAGGAUAAGGGUUCGAUCCUGGAGAGUGGGCCUGAGAGAUUGCUCACACUUCUAAGGAAGGCAGCAGGCGCGCAACGUUCCCAUUGGACAAUGUCCGAGGGCGUUAGGGGACAUAUGAAUGUCUGCCUUAUGGUGGACAAUUCAAAUGGGUUUGUUCUAAACAACCUUUCGAGUAACAAUUAAGGGAAACAAGUCAAAAGGGG